This 72-nucleotide transfer RNA is filed under the name Thermosporothrix hazakensis. It matches the Rfam family "tRNA". Rfam says of the family: Transfer RNA (tRNA) molecules are approximately 80 nucleotides in length. The record is from Rfam by way of RNAcentral. Lineage: Bacteria; Bacillati; Chloroflexota; Ktedonobacteria; Ktedonobacterales; Thermosporotrichaceae.
GCCGGUGUAGCUCAGCGGUAGAGCAACCGCUUCGUAAGCGGUCGGCCGUCGGUUCGAUUCCGACCACCGGCU